AUCUUUGGGUGAGCUUCCUUUCCCACAAUGCACAGCGGCAUACUGCACUUUAUAAGUGAAUGCGUGACUUCCGCUCUGUCUUUCAAUGUUGAACCGAGCUGUGGAGAUGUCGCUGGAGCAGUGGGUGAAAGCAGAGAUGCUGCGACCCCUGUUUAACCGAUGCUGUGAUAGAGUAGUAGCCAUGGGGUAGAGCUACCGACCUCCUGCCUUGCCUUUGAGGCCAAAGGCGGAGCCUCUGAGAUGCUCAGUGUGGAGCUGACAGUCAUGCUGCAGGCUUACUGAAGGAGCUCGUGGAGCAGCUGGCCUGCAGGGGGCAGCAAACACCUGCAAUGAACGGAGACUGGCGUCAGCGUGUACAGGGAAGUCCUGCCCGGCUGGUGUGGAUGAGUGGAUAAAGAUCCUGCCUCAAGCUGACAGUCAUCAGUACACUCCAUGUUUCUGCCAUGUUGCUGGAUAAUGUUCUUGAAGUCAUCACCUACAUUUAACACUUCCAGGAAAUAACCAUAAGACUGAUGUGAUUAUGCUGACAUGUAAAAGCUAUGACCUUUGUUUCCAAAUGUUUGAAUACAAUUUGAUGUUGCAGCACCUGAUUGGUCACUAGUGAAUAAACUACAGUGAACAUGUCACCCAGUGUAGUGUUGUUGCUUAUUGCUCUUUCUGGUUAACAGUGGAGCUCUGUGGUGUGGAGAAAUGGUACAACACUAAAUUACAGUCAACAAUUAAGUUUGUAUGUAUUUAUGAAUAAAGUUGAUGUGU
Molecule: long non-coding RNA, 756 nt
Organism: Toxotes jaculatrix (banded archerfish)
Lineage: Eukaryota; Metazoa; Chordata; Actinopteri; Toxotidae
Exons: 5
Source: RefSeq, a predicted model, not a curated record